GGAGAAGACUGCUGGUGGCUUGCUUCUGACCCAAGCGUCGAAGGAAAAACCCUCUGUUGGAACAGUGGUUGGUGUCGGGCCUGGAGCUCUGGAUGAAGAAGGCAACAGGAUACCACUGACUGUCAGCGCUGGCAGCACCGUAUUAUAUUCAAAGUUUGCAGGGAAUGAGUUCAAGAGUGCCGAUGGGACUGACUACAUUGUUCUAAGAGCAUCUGAUGUGAUGGCCAUCCUCUCUUAAACUGUCAUGUGAGAAGAAGCUGCUAGGGAAACAUGGUUAAUCAAGAAGGAUUUGGACGGCUUUGUAUCUGCUGUUUGGUCUUGCAAUUCAAAAUCCUCGGAGUAGUUUGUAUUCGGGGUGUUGAGAAAAGAUGAAUAAUCAACGAUUGUUUCGUUUUAA
RNAcentral lists this unclassified non-coding RNA (397 nucleotides) under Hevea brasiliensis (rubber tree). The record is from RNAcentral. Lineage: Eukaryota; Viridiplantae; Streptophyta; Magnoliopsida; Malpighiales; Euphorbiaceae.